GGUCUCUUGGUGGUCAAAAGUACACAACUAUCCAGAUCUAGUGUGAGGACGGAGAGUGAAAGACUGGAAAAAGUGAUAAUUUGUUCAAAGCUGUCGCGAAAAAGUGAAUUCACGGACGAGAUUGUGGAAAAAUGAACGUGAUUCCAUUAGAUGAACCAAGUGAACCGAGGUGCAGUAAUCUCAGCGUGCCUCUGUUCGGAUUUGAAAACAUUGAACACUGCCUCAGAAAACAUUUAGCCUAUUUAUCGCGCAAACAGUGGACGGCAUUAGCCACUGAUGACAUCACCUCGGAUGUCGUCAAUCUGCUGACCAAGAUGUGCCGAGUACUCAUAGAGCACAUUAGCAGCUUAGUGUUUAAAGUCGUACGCCCACAGGUUUUAUGCUGCCCACAUAAUCAUGAUCGUGGAGACAAAGAAAGCUCCGCUGACCGGAUGAAUGCUGAACCUCUGCUUGAUGGGUGCAGUUACUGCAGGGUGACAGAGGAUGAUAUUCAGGCCAGCCUCAGAAACAUCUUUGAUAACUGUUUUGGUUGGGUCUUGGGUUUUGGGCAACGGCGGUCUUGUGACUCAGACAAACUACUGACUUUAUUUUCAGUGUCGAUUGCAAAGAAUGUAAACUCAGCCCUGAGUCGUAUCACAGGGUCCACAUCCUUGCAAUCAGAUAGGUCCAGAUCCCCAACAAACCUUGUUGGGAUGGUUUACAGUGUAGUCAACAUUUUAGAAGACUAUGCAAAGACCUUAGCUCCCCUUUCUGUAGAUGGUGAGAGUAGCAGCGACAGCAUUGUUGAAAUGCCAGACUCUGAGGAAGAUAACGACUUUAAACCAGAGUCUGUAGAGACUUUUAAAAGCACACAGACUCAAGCUUGUGUAGGCAAGGAACAUUUGGUUAACAAGGGCCACAGUGAUACAUUUCAAAUCAUUGAUGUCCAAAAUCUUGACAGUGAGAGCUCAGAGAGUGAUGAAAAAUGUAGUGAUGCCCUGCAGUGUUCGUCUGGGACACUUCCUACGCCUACAGAGAUCGAUACCUUUCUCAAUUUGUGUCUUGCAAAUUUAGUCAUUCACAUUUCUGAGAAAACACAAACAUUUGCUGUAAAGUUAAAUUGUCAGCAGAUAGUGACUGAUAUAAGAGGGAAGAUUGAGGGAGACUUGACUCCUCUAAAAACUGUAAAAAACUUGUACAUCAUAAUGUACAAAGACCUGUGUCGCAAAUUUGGAUCCAAAUACGUGCUUCCGUUUGUAAUGGAAAAGGCUGAUGCGACUUUUGUAGCAGCCGUUGUGGAGCUAUUAAAAGCAGAGCUCAAAAAAUCGGCCAGCCCCAGUAACGUGCUGAGAAGUUUAGAAAGUAACAAAAGCGUUUCUCCAGCCGGUAAGAACAAAACGCAACAAUCUGCUACUGAGCAAAAUGGAUCCACAGAUUCCCAGAAAAACAGGCCGAGAAACCGUAUCGUUAGGGCCCUCACUUCUUUUUUUAGAUCUUUGAGGACGCUAUUCAGUUGCUGCAUGAGCAGUGAGUCAGAAACAGAGUAAUUAUCUUCAUAAUUACUCAAUGCAUGCUCAGUGAUCCAGGUAAGUCAAUCCCAAG
Long non-coding RNA from Oreochromis aureus, 1581 nucleotides. Lineage: Eukaryota; Metazoa; Chordata; Actinopteri; Cichliformes; Cichlidae. The record is from Ensembl.